CACCACCGGCGGACGGCUCAGUAACACGUCGGUAACCUACCCUCGGGAGGGGGAUAACCCCGGGAAACUGGGGCUAAUCCCCCAUAGGCCUGAGGUACUGGAAGGUCCUCAGGCCGAAAGGGGCUUUUGCCCGCCCGAGGAAGGGCCGGCGGCCGAUUAGGUAGUUGGUGGGGUAACGGCCCACCAAGCCGAAGAUCGGUACGGGCUGUGAGAGCAGGAGCCCGGAGAUGGACACUGAGACACGGGUCCAGGCCCUACGGGGCGCAGCAGGCGCGAAACCUCCGCAAUGCGGGAAACCGCGACGGGGGGACCCCGAGUGCCGUGGCACCGCCACGGCUUUUCCGGAGUGUAAAAAGCUCCGGGAAUAAGGGCUGGGCAAGGCCGGUGGCAGCCGCCGCGGUAAUACCGGCGGCCCGAGUGGUGGCCGCUAUUAUUGGGCCUAAAGCGUCCGUAGCCGGGCCCGUAAGUCCCUGGCGAAAUCCCACGGCUCAACCGUGGGGCUUGCUGGGGAUACUGCGGGCCUUGGGACCGGGAGAGGCGGGGGGUACCCCUGGGGUAGGGGUGAAAUCCUAUAAUCCCAGGGGGACCGCCAGUGGCGAA
Molecule: ribosomal RNA, 600 nt
Filed under: uncultured archaeon
Lineage: Archaea
Description: bacterial SSU rRNA
Rfam family: Archaeal small subunit ribosomal RNA
Source: RNAcentral